CGACGAAUCUUCCGCAAUGGGCGAAAGCCUGACGGAGCAAUGCCGCGUGCGGGAUGAAGGCUACGCCGUGUAAACCGCUGUCGGGGGGUAGAACCAACGAUCACCCCCAAAGGAAGGGGCGACUAACUCUGUGCCAGCAGUCGCGGUAAUACAGAGGCCCCGAGCGUUAGUCGGAAUCACUGGGCUUAAAGGGUGCGUAGGCGGACCGGCAAGCGUCCUGUGAAAUCCCUCGGCUCAACCGGGGAAUGGCAGGGCGGACUGCCGGUCUCGAGGCGGGUAGGGGCGGCUGGAACUGUAGGUGGAGCGGUGAAAUGCGUAGAUAUCUACAGGAACGCCGAUGGUGAAGACGAGCCGCUGGGCCCGACCUGACGCUGAGGCACGAAAGCGUGGGGAGCAAACAGGAUUAGAUACCCUGGUAGUCCACGCCGUAAACGAUGCGCACUAGAUCGGUGCGGCUCUGACGCCGUAUCGGUCGGAGUAAAAACGAUAAGUGCGCCGCCUGGGG
Molecule: ribosomal RNA, 505 nt
Filed under: uncultured bacterium
Lineage: Bacteria
Description: bacterial SSU rRNA
Rfam family: Bacterial small subunit ribosomal RNA
Source: RNAcentral